Long non-coding RNA from Triticum aestivum (bread wheat), 3019 nucleotides. RefSeq lists it as uncharacterized. NCBI's taxonomy places the organism in Eukaryota, Viridiplantae, Streptophyta, Magnoliopsida, Poales, Poaceae. The transcript is spliced from 4 exons. The record is from RefSeq and is a predicted model, not a curated record.
ACAACCGCCUCCUCAGAUUCCGCUGGCAGCUUCCUAAUUUUUGGGCCUCGAUACUUCUUUCUCUCCCGAUAUCGAGAAAAACAGCACCGCCGCUCCUCCCUUCUCCUCCUCCUGUGCACUUCCCCUAGAUCCACCCAGCCUCCGGUCAUCGCCCGCGCUCCUGCAAGCCGCCGCCGACCUCCUCAGCCGGACGCCAUGGCCACCGGAGGCAGGGGACGCGGCCGCGAUGGCCCUGAGCUCGGCGGCGUGGAAGCCAUUGGAGGUGCUGGCGAGGCCGAGGUCGGUGAGCAUGGCAGCGGCGGCCGGGUGCAUUGAGCGCAGGUAGGACUUCCUCAUGAGUUGUUUUCCUCCAACGCCGGGGUGUGGAUCUACGUGCGGGGGCUGCAGCCGCCGCCACCGCCACCGCCUCGAUCCCGACCCCCUUCCCCCCGCUUCCCGGGGACAGACCCCGUCGCCUUCUCCCUUCUUCCUCGGACCCCAGGACGUCCUGCUGUCAUCUGCACCCCGUCCCAGUCUUCAUCCGGCCAUCAGGUUUCCUUCCCCUCAAAGAAGAUUUUGAAGGAAGGAGAGAAGUCCGCUAAGCCACCCCUUAGGAAGCGGAUGGACUAGCUCGACGCGGUCUUUUCCUGCCCAUUCUGCAAUCAUGGGAGUAGCAUUGAAUGCCGGAUGAAAGCUUCAACACCACUGCAAAUGGUACAUAGAACUGCAGAUUGUACCUCCGUCAUCCCGCCGUCCUCACCCCAUCAUUGUGCGCCCCCGCCUGUCCGCUCACGCAUUCACAUUGAGGAAGAUGAUGAGUACCUCAGCCACGCCGCCGUCCUCUCCCCGUCGUCGCGCGCCCCCGCUCGUCAUCCAUCCGCAGCUUUUCCAGUCCCGACCGCCGGAGAGUCGCGCCGCUGGGAACAAGCACCUUGCAAUCGUGGUGUGCUUCUCCGUUGGUGCUGUCGUAUAGACAUCUUGCAAGUAAGUGACCUUCAAUCCAAAUGUUAUCUUUCUCUGCACUUGAUUUCAGUUGCUUUCUUAUGGUCUCCUGAAUUACUUGGCAUGUGUCAGCCAUUCUGGAUAGGGAACGUUCUUAAGGGACAUCAUGUUCACUUGGGAUACUUACUGGAUUAAGGAAGAAAUUUUGAAAUGCUUCUGAAACAAUAUCGUUUCAUUAGUUGAGGACUUUGGGUAGUUCAGCAUGUUCGAUUGAGCAUAAUUAAGAAGCUUGAUUUGUAAUUAUAUAAAAAAUUGUAAAAUGAUCUGUAAAAGUUGAACUUCUCACCAAAAUUAUAUCACUGAAGUUAAAUCAAGUGAAAAAAUAGUGUGCUGCGGUGCAGUUACUUGCAGCUGGGACUGAUCUGAUGAAGAAAUUAUUCUGUUAAAGACCUGGCAGAUAGUUUUUCUGCUGGCAAUGUAAUUACACUUGUUUGGAUGUGCUUGUUUUGGAUUAAAUGAUAGAAUGGGUGUUGUACUAUUGUUCUUGAUUUUCUCACUUAUUUAGUAGUGUUUGACGGGCAUUCUAAUCAUUUUUUGAGACCACUUUGGAGAGGGUACGUGAUUGAAAAGCUCGGAUUUUCCUGUUAGCAAGAGUAUUUUAUAUCUUACCAUGAAAAGCUGUAAUGCUAUUGUUCCUACAGAUUCAAGAACUCAGAUUUAGUAACAAGAUAGAUUUUUAUCAUGCCUCGCUAUGAAAUCAUGUUUGGUUGCAGUGCAAAGGUCAAUUGAGAAUUUGAGAUCCGUUGUGAAGAACGGUAGAUGCUUGCUUGUCGGUUGCCUAGAGAUUUUGUUUCUGAAUUUUUUUGUGUUGGAUCGCAAGAUGUUGCUGAUAUAUGGUCGUGUUUGUUCAAAAAAAGUCGUGAUGUGUUAUUGAUCAGGAUAUUAGUAUAUCCCAAUCUCAUCACAGGAUCUGUUCACUGGGUUUCUAAAACUAUAUAGCAUUUUAUUAGUUAUGGGUUGGAGCAGUCUUUCUUUUUUCCUCUCGAGAAAACAUUGAAGCUUAAUGUCUUGAUGCAUUUGAAAAAGAGAAUGGCAAAACAAAACAGUUUACUUAAGGGUUACAUGAGUGCCUCUGAAUUUUAAAAAAUGUCAGCAAUAGUUUCCUGUUUUGACUAAGAUUCUUUAUUUUCUUAGGAGCAAGCAUUUUCUAUAAUUCACACCACAACAUGACGGCAUGUGCAUAGCAUAAACCAUCAUUUGGGUAAUCUAAAUAUUAGCUUUGGUAGCCUCAUUUGCAAUUGUGUAUGUCUGUCAGGUUGAUGCCGAGGUAGCUAGGAAAGAUGCAUGAUGCAUAUAUUAUUCAGUACUGUUCUUACUGACGUUUUUCUUUCUGAUGAUAAACCACGGGGAUAAAUUGGCAAUGUAUCUCUUCACCUUCCAGAAUGAGAGCUUCACAGAGGUCCUCCUGGUGUGGGAGAUCAUGAGAGCCUAGAAAUGCAAAUGAGGCUGGAAGGAUUAUUUUGUUGGUGUCCGAGAGCGAAAUAUUUUGUGUUGCAAAGUUAGCCGUGGACCCUGUGUGGGAGCUUUGGGAGGAUGAUCUUGCCGCUACGCUGGUCAUGUGUCAACCGUACGCCUUUUACUUUUAAUACCGGCAUUUUUUAGGUGCAGGAUUUCUCAAACAGCACUAUACAUAGGGCCUUCCAGACUAUCUCAUAGAUUUUAUCCUGUAAAGUCGUGUGAGUUGUUUCACAUGCUCGAGUGUGAAUGAAUUGUAGGGGAUGCCACUUCUGCUGGUUGGGAUGUUGAUGGCGUGUGUGCUUUUUGCCGCUGCUAGCAUCUACUCCCUCCGUUCGGAAUUACUUGUCACAAAAAUGGAUAGAAAUGGAUGUAUCUAUAACUAAAAUACAUCUAGAUACAUUCAUUUCUUGGACGAGUAAUUCCGAACGGAGAGAGUAAUGAGUAGUAUAGUGCACAACUGCAUUAGCUUUGGACGUAUGUGCUUCAAUACUUUUUUUUCUGUUGGGCUUUAAUAUUCUACUAAAUUUCUGAUCGAUAAAAAUGUUUGUGGCUACUAUAGUACUCCCUUCGUCCGGAAAUA